GGAUAACGUAGGGAAACUUACGCUAAUACCGCAUACGACCUACGGGUGAAAGCAGGGGAUCUUCGGACCUUGCGCGAUUGAAUGAGCCGAUGUCGGAUUAGCUAGUUGGCGGGGUAAAGGCCCACCAAGGCGACGAUCCGUAGCUGGUCUGAGAGGAUGAUCAGCCACACUGGAACUGAGACACGGUCCAGACUCCUACGGGAGGCAGCAGUGGGGAAUAUUGGACAAUGGGCGCAAGCCUGAUCCAGCCAUACCGCGUGGGUGAAGAAGGCCUUCGGGUUGUAAAGCCCUUUUGUUGGGAAAGAAAUCCAGCUGGCUAAUACCCGGUUGGGAUGACGGUACCCAAAGAAUAAGCACCGGCUAACUUCGUGCCAGCAGCCGCGGUAAUACGAAGGGUGCAAGCGUUACUCGGAAUUACUGGGCGUAAAGCGUGCGUAGGUGGUCGUUUAAGUCCGUUGUGAAAGCCCUGGGCUCAACCUGGGAACUGCAGUGGAUACUGGGCGACUAGAGUGUGGUAGAGGGUAGCGGAAUUCCUGGUGUAGCAGUGAAAUGCGUAGAGAUCAGGAGGAACAUCCAU
RNAcentral lists this ribosomal RNA (577 nucleotides) under Acinetobacter baumannii. RNAcentral's name for it is "bacterial SSU rRNA". It matches the Rfam family "Bacterial small subunit ribosomal RNA", at positions 141 to 713 of the family's 1533-position model. The record is from RNAcentral. Lineage: Bacteria; Pseudomonadati; Pseudomonadota; Gammaproteobacteria; Moraxellales; Moraxellaceae.